RNAcentral lists this unclassified non-coding RNA (243 nucleotides) under Hevea brasiliensis (rubber tree). Lineage: Eukaryota; Viridiplantae; Streptophyta; Magnoliopsida; Malpighiales; Euphorbiaceae. The record is from RNAcentral.
UAAAAGUUAAAAGUGCUGAAAUUUUCCCUCCUGGUAUGACCUCUUGUAUUUUGAAAAGUUAUGGGCCUUAGAGAGCACCCCACAAGGUGCUGCGACAUUUUAGCUCUUUGUUGUACAUGUUCAAUCAUAUGCUGUUGUUGCCUGCUACAUUGAAGUUUUUGUAUACAUGCACAGUCAUGUGUGCUCAUGUUUUUUCAUGCUUGAGAUCAAAUGAAUUUCAUUAUAACCUGUUUGUAUUAAUUA